This 253-nucleotide ribosomal RNA is filed under the name uncultured bacterium. Its description in RNAcentral is "partial 16S ribosomal RNA". It matches the Rfam family "Bacterial small subunit ribosomal RNA", at positions 524 to 776 of the family's 1533-position model. The record is from RNAcentral.
GACAGAGGGUGCAAACGUUGUUCGGAAUUACUGGGCGUAAAGCGUGUGUAGGCGGCCUUAUAAGUCGGAUGUGAAAGCCCAGGGCUCAGCCCUGGAAGUGCACUCGAUACUGUAAGGCUCGAGUACUGGAGAGGUUGGUGGAAUUCUCGGUGUAGAGGUGAAAUUCGUAGAUAUCGAGAGGAACACCGGUGGCGAAGGCGGUUCUCUGGGCAUUACCUGACGCUGAGGAGCGAAAGCAUGGGGAGCGAACAGG